Long non-coding RNA from Rhinichthys klamathensis goyatoka, 798 nucleotides. RefSeq lists it as uncharacterized. Lineage: Eukaryota; Metazoa; Chordata; Actinopteri; Cypriniformes; Leuciscidae. The record is from RefSeq and is a predicted model, not a curated record. The transcript has 2 exons.
AAAUAUCUGGGUUCCUAUAUGCCAUUUUGGAAAAGUAGAGUAUGGAAAAAUAUUGGCAUUUCCAGACAUUUGCCCCAAUUUAGUUUUCCAUGAUAGAAAAUUAAGAAUUAUUUAAUGAAAUUAUAUUUAUCAUGGCACCUGUUUAGUGAUUUUUUAGUGAUUGUCAAACAUGACUGAAUAAAUUCAAUUUUGAGUUUGUUCUCAAGAUAUUAUUAGCACCGUAUUACAGAGCCUCUAAAAAGACCUUUGCAAAAAGAAUAAAAUAUUCAGACUUUUGUGUGCGCACAAGAAACCAUUAAACUUAGCAUAUAGGACAAUGCACACUGAGCCACCUAUUGUUGUGGCAAAUUCACAAUCUUUGGUUCAGGUCUCAGAAGAAUUAACUUUAUUGACAAGCAACAAAGUGAGAUGCCAGCUGGCCAUCUGAUCUUUCAUGGGCCAGUGCUCUAGUCUUAUACCUUUUUCUUAUUGUUGGUGUCCAAUUAGCGUUCGUAUUACUAUCCUUUUACACAAUGGGCAUUUGUAUUAUUAUCCUUUUCUGGCACAUCGUUACAUUGUAUAUAAUAUGUUUCUCUUCCAGUGCUUCCCAACACCUGCAUCUCUACUACAAGUUUUUUGGGUACUUUUCCACUCUCUUGUCCCUGUCCUCAUGUGCCCUAUCCUCACAUUCAGACUCAUGUAUAAGACAGAUGAAAUAUGAAAUUCUCCAACACUAUCAGCCCAUUUCGCUGCGUGGUUUCUUGGCCGUCACAGAGUAUGCGUUAAAGCAGACCUAAGGCCUUGAAAUAUGACGUACUG